GUGGCGGACGGGUGAGGAACGCGUGAGAACCUGCCUCAAGGUCGGGGACAACAGUUGGAAACGACUGCUAAUACCGGAUGAGCCGAAUAGGUAAAAGAUUUAUCGCCUAGAGAGGGGCUCGCGUCUGAUUAGCUAGAUGGUGAGGUAAAGGCUUACCAUGGCGACGAUCAGUAGCUGGUCUGAGAGGAUGAGCAGCCACACUGGGACUGAGACACGGCCCAGACUCCUACGGGAGGCAGCAGUGGGGAAUUUUCCGCAAUGGGCGAAAGCCUGACGGAGCAAUACCGCGUGAGGGAGGAAGGCUCUUGGGUUGUAAACUUCAAAACUUAGGGAAGAAAAAAAUGACGGUACCUAAUGUAAGCAUCGGCUAACUCCGUGCCAGCAGCCGCGGUAAUACGGAGGAUGCAAGCGUUAUCCGGAAUCAUUGGGCGUAAAGAGUCCGUAGGUGGCACUUCAAGUCUGCUUUCAAAGACCGAAGCUCAACUUCGGAAAGGGAGUGGAAACUGAAGAGCUAGAGUAUAGUAGGGGUAGAGGGAAUUCCUAGUGUAGCGGUGAAAUGCGUAGAGAUUAGGAAGAACACCAGUGGCGAAGGCGCUCUACUGGGCAUAUACUGACACUGAGGGACGAAAGCUAGGGGAGCGAAAGGGAUUAGAUACCCCUGUAGUCCUA
RNAcentral lists this ribosomal RNA (669 nucleotides) under uncultured Chroococcales cyanobacterium. RNAcentral describes it as "bacterial SSU rRNA". It matches the Rfam family "Bacterial small subunit ribosomal RNA", at positions 95 to 798 of the family's 1533-position model. The record is from RNAcentral. Lineage: Bacteria; Bacillati; Cyanobacteriota; Cyanophyceae; Chroococcales.